GUUGGAUGUGGUGGCGCACAUCUGUAAUCCCAGCAGCUUAGGAGGCUGAGGCAGGAGGAUCCUGAGUUCAAAACCAGCCUCAGCAAAUGCUGAAGCACUAAGCAACUCAGUGAGACCCUGUUUCUA
This 126-nucleotide small RNA is filed under the name Marmota monax (woodchuck). The record is from RNAcentral. Lineage: Eukaryota; Metazoa; Chordata; Mammalia; Rodentia; Sciuridae.